RNAcentral lists this non-coding RNA (91 nucleotides) under Pseudomonas sp. FeS53a. Its description in RNAcentral is "sRNA-Xcc1". It matches the Rfam family "sRNA-Xcc1". Lineage: Bacteria; Pseudomonadati; Pseudomonadota; Gammaproteobacteria; Pseudomonadales; Pseudomonadaceae. The record is from Rfam by way of RNAcentral.
GGCCGGGUAGCGCGCAGCCAUAAAAGACUCCUUCGGGGGGAAAUCUGCGGGCCGUUCCAAGUGCGGUGUUGAAGUACCCGGCCGCCCUCUC